Molecule: ribosomal RNA, 242 nt
Filed under: uncultured bacterium
Lineage: Bacteria
Description: partial 16S ribosomal RNA
Rfam family: Bacterial small subunit ribosomal RNA
Source: RNAcentral
UCGAACGCCUCGCAAGAGGAGUGGCAGACGGGUGAGUAACACGUGGGAACGUACCCUUCGGUUCGGAAUAACUCAGGGAAACUUGUGCUAAUACCGGAUACGAUCGCGAGAUGAAAGAUUUAUCGCCGAAGGAUCGGCCCGCGUCUGAUUAGCUAGUUGGUGAGGUAAUGGCUCACCAAGGCGACGAUCAGUAGCUGGUCUGAGAGGAUGACCAGCCACAUUGGGACUGAGACACGGCCCAA